RNAcentral lists this ribosomal RNA (497 nucleotides) under uncultured bacterium. RNAcentral's name for it is "bacterial SSU rRNA". It matches the Rfam family "Bacterial small subunit ribosomal RNA", at positions 899 to 1397 of the family's 1533-position model. The record is from RNAcentral.
ACUCAAAGGAAUUGACGGGGGCCCGCACAAGCGGCGGAGCAUGUUGCUUAAUUCGACGCAACGCGAAGAACCUUACCAAGGUUUGACAUGGACGGAAAUCUCGCAGAGAUGCGGGGUCCUUCGGGGCCGUUCACAGGUGGUGCAUGGCUGUCGUCAGCUCGUGUCGUGAGAUGUUGGGUUAAGUCCCGCAACGAGCGCAACCCUCGUCCCAUGUUGCCAGCGGGUUAUGCCGGGGACUCAUGGGAGACUGCCGGGGUCAACUCGGAGGAAGGUGGGGAUGACGUCAAGUCAUCAUGCCCCUUAUGUCUUGGGCUGCAAACAUGCUACAAUGGCCGGUACAAAGCGCUGCGACAUCGUGAGAUGAAGCGAAUCGCAUAAAGCCGGUCUCAGUUCGGAUCGGGGUCUGCAACUCGGCCCCGUGAAGCCGGAGUCGCUAGUAAUCGCAGAUCAGCAACGCUGCGGUGAAUACGUUCCCGGGCCUUGUACACACCGCCCGU